AGUGAACGCUGGCGGUAGGCCUAACACAUGCAGGUCGAACGGCAGCACAGUAAGAGCUUGCUCUUACGGGUGGCGAGUGGCGGACGGGUGAGGAAUACAUCGGAAUCUACUUUUUCGUGGGGGAUAACGUAGGGAAACUUACGCUAAUACCGCAUACGACCUACGGGUGAAAGCAGGGGAUCUUCGGACCUUGCGCGAUUGAAUGAGCCGAUGUCGGAUUAGCUAGUUGGCGGGGUAAAGGCCCACCAAGGCGACGAUCCGUAGCUGGUCUGAGAGGAUGAUCAGCCACACUGGAACUGAGACACGCUCCAGACUCCUACGGGAGGCAGCAGUGGGGAAUAUUGGACAAUGGGCGCAAGCCUGAUCCAGCCAUACCGCGUGGGUGAAGAAGGCCUUCGGGUUGUAAAGCCCUUUUGUUGGGAAAGAAAAGCAGCAGGUUAAUACCCCGCUGUUCUGACGGUACCCAAAGAAUAAGCACCGGCUAACUUCGUG
Molecule: ribosomal RNA, 492 nt
Filed under: uncultured bacterium
Lineage: Bacteria
Description: partial 16S ribosomal RNA
Rfam family: Bacterial small subunit ribosomal RNA
Source: RNAcentral